GCGUUACUUGCACCCAAGAGCAAGUUCAAACUCGAGAAUUAGUACAAUGAUGAAUUGCAUAGAUUGGAAAUGGGUCUAAACAAUCAACAAAAAAGUGAAUUUUGCAAGGAUUAAGGCCUUAUUUGGCAAGCCGGGAUUGAGGCCCAUUCCCACGGCCCAAUAAGAUCUCCAUUCGGCCCAAAACCCCCCAAACCCAGCGCCGCCGCUUCCCAUCUCGCUCAUCCAUCUCCGACCGCCGCCACCCUCCGCAUGCCGCCGGCGCCUCCCUCCGAGCGGCGCCGUGCAGGGGUUUUACCAGAGCAGCAGCCGUCGAGGGGCGACGGCGACGGCCGGCUGCGGCUGCGUCAUGCUGCCCCUCUACGCCUACCUCGGCAGAUUGAGCCAACCAUGGUUCAGAAAAGGAGAGAGAUUAUGAAGUCUUAAGAUAAACUAGCUUCGAUUGGUGAAGAAAAGCAUUCCCCUGUGGUGUUUACUAAAUUGAGGAAAGAAAAGCUCAGACUUAACAAGAUGAUUUCCAUGAAUGCUAUAGAAUAGAGAAACACUUUUGAGACUAUGGGAGCAGUACCUUCAAGCCGGCUACUGACACAAUAUUGGGUUUUCAAAGCUGUGCCACAUCUGUCAGGCAAUCCAACCAUCACAGUUAUGAAUUAAAGUUUGGAACCAUGAGUUCAUAUUUACUACUUUUUUUGCAAGUAAAACUAAAACAGUUAUACAAGUAAAACGAAAACAGUUCAUACUGGACUAGACUGAAGGGACUCCAGGACAAACUGAUAUGAACUGAUGGCUAUUCUUGUGAAGGUCCUGUACACCACUUAAGUUAGUUAAGCAAUAGUAACUAUGAAGAACUCCAGAACUCUCUCUCUCUCCUUGUUUUGUUUUCUUUGGCUGAUUUGUAGCCCUUUUUUCCCUAUCUAAUGGAAUGACAUGCAAGUCUUUUGCAUGUUCCCCAAACUAAUGCUAGAACACCUUUGUAUAGGUGGCAAAUGUAAGAAUGGAGAGAAAAAAACUGCAAGCCAUAAUAUCAGUAGCUAAAACAUCGAAAACUCAAUGUUUUCCACAGAUAUUCUGUCAUGACGAUAUUUUGAUCCAUAACUUAUUACACCCCAACUUGCCGUGUACAUCACUAAAUCUUCAUGAGUGAUAAUCCAAAAAAUACAACUUUAGUACCAAUAAGCCUAGUAUAAAUGACAUAAUAACACCUGCACACCAAAACCCCCCAAAAGACGGUCAGUAAUCUGAGUGCAAAGUACCUUUCUCAGAAAUGACAUCAACUGUGCGGAUUAAACUAGUACUUGCAACCCAUGAUAAUAUAAAUCUCAAACAAUGAUUUAGGAGACCUGUUCUCAGAUUAUUGUACAUUAUUUAAGAGUAAAAGGUAUAAGAACUGGUCGUCUAGUGCAUCUGCCGUCUGAUAUAGCUAGAAGCAGGAGACUAUGCAAGUUCACUUGAAAGUUAGAAUUCAAAAAAUUUGGAAUACCUGACAGCAUAAGUGAAUUUACAUGAUUCUACAAUGAUUAUAGCUAUUCUCUGAACACACAUACAGCUGGUAUGCAAAACUUAUGCUACCUAAGCAUUAGUUCCUUUACGGUGCUCACAUCUAGCCAUCUAGAUCUAGGCAUUGAUAUGCACACUUGAGUAAAGCUCCAUUUUACAUGCUUAUACUUACAUGAUUUAUGUACAGGAAUAUAAGGAUACCACCCAUACAAGAUCCUCAUCUGAGGAAUGGUGCAUGGAUGGAUUAUUGCCAUAUGAGGAAUGGUGCGUGGAUGGAUUAUUGCCAAGUUGUACACAGAUGUGUCGAUUUUUAUGAUCGGCAAUAUAAUUUAUAGGGUGUUCUAUAUCAAGGAGAGAUGGUGACACAGACAUUUAUACUGGUUCAGGCCCUCAAUGCGAGCCGCCACCCUCCACAGGCCGCAGUUGCCUCAGCUCCCUUCAUGCGCCGUGCAGGAGUUUUACAAGAGAGCAGCAGCCGCCGAGGGACGACGGUGAUGACCGGCUACGCUGCGUCAUGCUGUCCCUCGACGCCGACCACCGCGGGAGGAACAGCAUGAUAUGUUCCUGGACCGCCUCGGCUGCAGCCAACCAUGGAAGAGGAUACCACCCAUACAAGAUCCGCAUCUGAGGAACGGUGCAUGGAUGGAUUAUUGCCGAGUUGUACUGUACACGACUGGCUAAAAGAAAGGGCACUCCAAUACGAGGCCCAGCACUGCACUACUAGUUCAUCACCCCCCUGCAAACGAUGUGAUGGAUGGGGUUAGGAAAAAGGACGUGUAAUUGUGGGAUUUAGGAACUAGUAGGAACAUAGAAGCAUCUAUUACCUUAUUAGUCGUGCACUAGAGAAUUAGUUCGAUUUCUGGGUUGGUUUUCUUGAGCUUCUUGCACUGCUUUACGAGCUUCUCGUUGUCGCGGACUAUGAAGUAUUUCAGUGAACCUGGGAGGCCAUCCUUGGGCAGUGACUGGAUGGAUGGACAGUUCAUAAUCA
Non-coding RNA from Oryza sativa Japonica Group (Japanese rice), 2482 nucleotides. Lineage: Eukaryota; Viridiplantae; Streptophyta; Magnoliopsida; Poales; Poaceae. The record is from RefSeq and is a predicted model, not a curated record.